AUGGCCGCUCCAUCCAUGUCUACCCGCAUUCCCAUCUUUGUGUUAGUCCUACUCUCGGCUGUGUCAGCUUCUUCUCCCAGUCCGAUCAAUGGCAAUGGCAGUGACAUCGACCUCGCCGCGCUGCUCGCUUUCAAAGCGCAGCUCGCCGACCCUCUCCACAUCCUUGCUGACAACCGGACCACCAGCACGUCUUUCUGCCACUGGGACGGCGUCUCGUGCAGUCGGCGUAGGCAACGUGUCACCGCUUUAUCAUUGGUGGAUACACAUCUUGUUGGAUCUGUAGCUCCUCACAUAGAGUACGGAUCACUUGGAAAAGCCUCAAGGAAGAGCGACGUGUUUAGUUACGGAAUCAUGCUCCUUGAAGUCUUCACCGGAAGAAGGCCCACCGAUGUCAUGUUCGGCACACAACUAACCCUUAGGCAGUGGGUUCAUCAUUCAUUUCCUGCUGAGCUUGUCCGAGUCGUCGAUGGUCAGCUUCUGCAAGGCUCCUCUCUUUCAAGUUGCAGGUUGGACGAUGGAAUUCUUGCAUCGGUCUUUGAGGUUGGGUUUGCGAUGUUCCAGUGA
Molecule: ribosomal RNA, 564 nt
Filed under: Triticum aestivum (bread wheat)
Lineage: Eukaryota; Viridiplantae; Streptophyta; Magnoliopsida; Poales; Poaceae
Description: partial small subunit ribosomal RNA
Source: RNAcentral